CCUGCGGAAGGAUCAUUAUUGAGUUCUAAUGAAGAGUUUGGUUGUAGCUGGUCUAUUUAUUUAGGCAUGUGCACACCUCCCUCAAUCAUCCCACACACACCUGUGAACUUGUGAGACAGUUGGGGAAUUUAUUUGUUAUUUUUUGUAAUAAAAUGAUAAUAAAUCAUUGAACCCUUCUGUCUACUCAACUCACAUAAAAUCAAUUUAUUUUAAAUGAAUGUAAUGGAUGUAACACAUCUCAUACUAAGUUUCAACAACGGAUCUCUUGGCUCUCGCAUCGAUGAAGAACGCAGCGAAAUGCGAUAAGUAAUGUGAAUUGCAGAAUUCAGUGAAUCAUCGAAUCUUUGAACGCACCUUGCGCUCCUUGGUAUUCCUUGGAGCAUGCCUGUUUGAGUAUCAUGAUAUCUUCAAAAUCAAUCUUUUUGUUAACUCAAUUAGUUUGAUCCUGGUAUUGGAGGUCUUUUGCAGCUUCACACCUGCUUCUCUUUGUGUAUUAGCUGGAUCUCAGUGUUAUGCUUGGUUCCACUCAGAGUGAUAAAUUAUCUAUCGCUGAGGACACUGUAAAAAGUGGCCAAGGUAAAUGCAGAUGAACUUCUUCUAAUAGUCCAUUGACUUAGACACUAUUAUUAUGAUCUGAUCUCAAAUCAG
Molecule: ribosomal RNA, 648 nt
Filed under: Rhizoctonia solani AG-3 PT
Lineage: Eukaryota; Fungi; Basidiomycota; Agaricomycetes; Cantharellales; Ceratobasidiaceae
Description: eukaryotic LSU rRNA
Rfam family: 5.8S ribosomal RNA (bases 246-399)
Source: RNAcentral